This 2391-nucleotide ribosomal RNA is filed under the name Triticum aestivum (bread wheat). RNAcentral describes it as "partial small subunit ribosomal RNA". Lineage: Eukaryota; Viridiplantae; Streptophyta; Magnoliopsida; Poales; Poaceae. The record is from RNAcentral.
CGUCUUCUACUAAUGUUAAGUAUCAGAUGUUAUAUGUUUCUAUACGGAUAUAUGAGAUUGUGGAGGUUUGUGUUUUUGUUUUCGAAGUGUCGGAACACUAACGCUAUUUUGGUGUGACAAGAGCGAGCCGAGUUCGGAGUGCGCGCUUGUACUCCCAGAAGCCCGAGGAGCGAAAGCGGCCGACGCGCCGCAACGAGCGCCCACGGCCGCCCGUCGUCCUCCGGCCGCACGGCAGCUAGUAGUGGGCCCUCUUCAAGCUGCGGUACUACUCGUUGGCGUUGUUUCCGUCGACGCUCCCGCCGCGCAAGAUGUGGAUCUUGCGUAAGCAGUUCCGGCACUCGUUUAAGGGACGGAAGCCGUUACGGUCGCUGCUGUUCUGGGCGUCUACCCUCGAGCGGCGGAAGAAGCCCGUCUGGAGGGUGCUUUGGCAACUCUUAGGUGCCGUACUGUACGAUAGCCCGAUACUGCAGUCCAAUGACGAAGCACUUUCUCGUUUUAGGUCACUAGUACGCGAUGAUGCCUGCUCCGGAUCAUGUCGACUGGAUGCUGAAGUUGAUAGCUGUUCGGCCCCUCCGCAACCCCGACCUGGAGGAUCUGUUGGGCCUGGACCACAGGUGCUUGGGGCAGCACCGCAAGUUCUGCCGUUAGACUACAACCUACUGCGGAGUCCGCGGGUUUGGUAGCACAGUGCGGCACUACUGGCUACCGACCUGAGGAAAACGGGUUCUACAGCUGCGCCCCUACGAGGGGCCGAUGCCGUACUGGUGGUUGUAGAAGUUGCCGAGCCGCCUCACGCCGUUCCCGAUGCGCUGGGGCGACCGGUUCCUGGCCCGGGCGAUGAUGUUCUACAUGGCGCUGUACGAGUUUCAACUCAUGCCACUUUUGAUGCCCACGCCCGUGGUCUUGAAUUGUUUCAGCAACAACGGAGUGCCUCUUAGAAGCGGAGGAGCCUUGUCUUGGUCCGAAGACUAGCCGUAGAGACAUCCAAGAUACAACAAAAACGAGCAAAAGCAGUGAAACUAGACAGAGGAGGAUGCCGCUUUGGCCCGGCUUUUGGUAGUGACUCGUUGCCUCGUUCCCGAUAGUCUCCGGCCGAAGAAACUACUGUUAGUCUCGUACCUUCUUCUGAAGUUCUUUCCUUGGCGCGGGUUCGCCAAAACGAUGUCGCUGAACCGGUACCGGUGGCUGUUGAAAAGGCUGCUAUUCUUCGAUCCUGUUCCCCCGAAGCCGAGCCACAUGUUUCCUAAGGAGUUCCUUGACCUGGAAGUGCACCGGUAGUUUUCUCAGAGGUUCCCGAGGUUCGUCCCCUCCUUCCUCGUACGGAGACUCUGUACUCUAACACGAGCCCAAUCCUAGGCGCGAAGAGAUGGAUGUAGUCCUCACCCUCGUCACGUAGGACGUAUCCCUGCAGUUCGGUUCGUUGUAGUACGACCUACGCAGGAAGUUGUGGUUCGAGCCGCUGAAGCCAGAGCGGUCCGACCAGUUUGUGUCGGCUCCAAGCGAGUGGUGCCGUGUGUGGACGUGUUACCCUAUGUACCUAGGUCUUACGUACUAGUGACCGUCCCGGUUGCGGCUCAGUCUAUAAAUGUCGAAGCCGCAACAGGAGAACCUCUAGCGGACGCCGUCUGCCGGGUACCACCACCAAGUUGUUGUUCUUCUUCUACUACUACUACUUCUACACCAGGUGGACCGAGUCACCCAGACCUCGAGCAUACCUUCUCCCUUCUAAGACCUGCAGUGGCUGUGUGCCGACCCUCUUCUUAAGCUACGAGCCCUCUACCUCACACACGACUAGCAACCCGAAACCACACGAGUCGAGCUAAACUUCGACUCUGACAGACAGUACGUACGAGAGUUGCACGACGCCAAACUCCGCGGGGACGGAGGGGAGGGGAGUUCCUACGGCCGACGUUCGAUGUACGGUGGUUAAUCACCAUGUCCCUCGACGUGUAGAAGUAGCUGCCAUUGUGCGGUGUAGUUGCUGUAGUACACAUGUAGAAACCACCGUCGUUGCCGCACCGACGGUGAGUCAGCUCGAACUGACUUCUUAGAAACGACUUUGCUCUAUCUGGUGUGCGAAGAGACUAGCGUGGGCCUUUUUUUCAGGUCGGCAAAAAGCACCUUCAACUUCAUAAAUGAUACCUUGUUUACGUAAAUGCAAGACUUUACGUCAUCCUGAGCAAACAAAGCUUGUACGUGAGCAACAGAAAUUAAUGUAAUAAUCAACAUGGUAGUUUGGAAAUGUUUCCAAAGCACAAAAUCUUAACUUUGUGUAGUAGCCUAAAUGUGUUCAGUGUAUCGUUUCAGUGAAAUCGAUAUCCAGUUGAGCGACUUUUUACAUAAACCCAGUCAGCUAAAAACUUGGUAACUAGAGACAGAGUUCUAAGGGCG